Molecule: ribosomal RNA, 427 nt
Filed under: Micrococcus sp. M-B-1
Lineage: Bacteria; Bacillati; Actinomycetota; Actinomycetes; Micrococcales; Micrococcaceae
Description: bacterial SSU rRNA
Rfam family: Bacterial small subunit ribosomal RNA
Source: RNAcentral
GAUGAACGCUGGCGGCGUGCUUAACACAUGCAAGUCGAACGAUGAAGCCCAGCUUGCUGGGUGGAUUAGUGGCGAACGGGUGAGUAACACGUGAGUAACCUGCCCUUAACUCUGGGAUAAGCCUGGGAAACUAGGUCUAAUACCGGAUAGGAGCGCCCACCGCAUGGUGGGUGUUGGAAAGAUUUAUCGGUUUUGGAUGGACUCGCGGCCUAUCAGCUUGUUGGUGAGGUAAUGGCUCACCAAGGCGACGACGGGUAGCCGGCCUGAGAGGGUGACCGGCCACACUGGGACUGAGACACGGCCCAGACUCCUACGGGAGGCAGCAGUGGGGAAUAUUGCACAAUGGGCGCAAGCCUGAUGCAGCGACGCCGCGUGAGGGAUGACGGCCUUCGGGUUGUAAACCUCUUUCAGUAGGGAAGAAGCGAAA